RNAcentral lists this transfer RNA (62 nucleotides) under Strigamia maritima. It matches the Rfam family "tRNA", at positions 5 to 66 of the family's 71-position model. Rfam says of the family: Transfer RNA (tRNA) molecules are approximately 80 nucleotides in length. Their secondary structure includes four short double-helical elements and three loops (D, anti-codon, and T loops). The record is from Rfam by way of RNAcentral. Lineage: Eukaryota; Metazoa; Arthropoda; Chilopoda; Geophilomorpha; Linotaeniidae.
AGAUAGCUUAAUGGUAAAGCACCCAACCGGCAAUUAAGGGAUCUGGGUUCAAGUCCCGGUCU